RNAcentral lists this ribosomal RNA (490 nucleotides) under uncultured bacterium. RNAcentral describes it as "partial 16S ribosomal RNA". It matches the Rfam family "Bacterial small subunit ribosomal RNA", at positions 30 to 507 of the family's 1533-position model. The record is from RNAcentral.
AUUGAACGCUGGCGGCAGGCCUAACACAUGCAAGUCGAACGGUAACAGGAAGCAGCUUGCUGCUUUGCUGACGAGUGGCGGACGGGCGAGUAAUGUCUGGGAAACUGCCUGAUGGAGGGGGAUAACUACUGGAAACGGUAGCUAAUACCGCAUAAUGUCGCAAGACCAAAGAGGGGGACCUUCGGGCCUCUUGCCAUCGGAUGUGCCCAGAUGGGAUUAGCUAGUAGGUGGGGUAAAGGCUCACCUAGGCGACGAUCCCUAGCUGGUCUGAGAGGAUGACCAGCCACACUGGAACUGAGACACGGUCCAGACUCCUACGGGAGGCAGCAGUGGGGAAUAUUGCACAAUGGGCGCAAGCCUGAUGCAGCCAUGCCGCGUGUAUGAAGAAGGCCUUCGGGUUGUAAAGUACUUUCAGCGGGGAGGAAGGGAGUAAAGUUAAUACCUUUGCUCAUUGACGUUACCCGCAGAAGAAGCACCGGCUAACUCCGUG